GCAGAGCGAGCCGCGGUGGACGGAGUGGAACCGGCCCUCCUCCCUCGACAUCGCGUUCAGCAACGCCGACGCCAUGGCCGCGGCGGGCCUCGCCGGCGGCGGGAGCUUCUCCUCGUUGGACGGAGGGCUUCUGGGGCAGCUGGGGCAGCUCUCCCCUCUCUUCCAGGACUCAAUGCCGGACGUGUUCAAGUACCUCCACAAGCCCUUCUAAGAACGCGUCUCGGUGCCCCUUGCCGUGCCGUGCGGCGCCCCCACCGGCGAGCCGCCGUCGCUGGACGGCGCCGGCGGCGAUGAGACCGUUGGGCUGGCCCGUCUCUACGGAGCUUCUCUUUAGAUCCCUGGAAAAAAGGUCGUGGGUGUCACGUAUGUAUAGAUAGGGUCGCGCUUGCUGUUAGUUCCCCCCCAAUUCUUGUACUCCACUGUUUUGAAGAUAAGCCCAGAUAUCUGCUUUCCUUAUAAAACCGCCCUCCUUUCCGACCACCCCCGUUAUUUUGAAAGCACCCC
RNAcentral lists this long non-coding RNA (504 nucleotides) under Spirodela polyrhiza (greater duckweed). RNAcentral's name for it is "long non-coding RNA (SPOL_LNC002155)". The record is from RNAcentral. Lineage: Eukaryota; Viridiplantae; Streptophyta; Magnoliopsida; Alismatales; Araceae.